GACGAACGCUGGCGGCGUGCUUAACACAUGCAAGUCGAACGGAAAGGCCUGCUUUCCCUUGUGGAUUGCGGGUGCUCGAGUGGCGAACGGGUGAGUAACACGUGAGUGAUCUGCCCCCAACUUGGGUAUAAGCCUGGGAAACUGGGUCUAAUUCCCGAUAGGACUGCAGGGUGGUGCCUGUGGUGGAAAACGAUUUUCUAGUGGUUGGGGAUGAGCUCGCGGCCUAUCAGCUUGUUGGUGGGGUAAUGGCCUACCAAGGCGGCGACGGGUAGCCGGCCUGGGAGGGUGGACGGCCACAUUGGGACUGAGAUACGGCCCAGACUCCUACGGGAGGCAGCAGUGGGGAAUAUUGCACAAUGGACGGAAGCCUGAUGCAGCGACGCCGCGUGGGGGAUGACGGCCUUCGGGUUGUAAACUCCUUUCGACCGCGAGGAAGCCACCUGGUUGGAAGGGUGGUGACGGUAGUGGUAGAAGAAGCACCGGCUAACUACGUG
RNAcentral lists this ribosomal RNA (494 nucleotides) under uncultured bacterium. RNAcentral's name for it is "partial 16S ribosomal RNA". It matches the Rfam family "Bacterial small subunit ribosomal RNA", at positions 28 to 507 of the family's 1533-position model. The record is from RNAcentral.